UAGAGUUUGAUCAUGGCUCAGAUUGAACGCUGGCGGCAGGCCUAACACAUGCAAGUCGAGCGCGAAAGCACUUCGGUGUGAGUAGAGCGGCGGACGGGUGAGUAAUGCUUGGGAAUCUGCCCAGUAGUGGGGGAUAACGUGUGGAAACGCACGCUAAUACCGCAUACGUCCUACGGGAGAAAGCAGGGGAUCUUCGGACCUUGCGCUAUUGGAUGAGCCCAAGUCAGAUUAGCUAGUUGGUGGGGUAAUGGCCUACCAAGGCGACGAUCUGUAGCUGGUCUGAGAGGAUGAUCAGCCACACUGGGACUGAGACACGGCCCAGACUCCUACGGGAGGCAGCAGUGGGGAAUAUUGCACAAUGGGCGAAAGCCUGAUGCAGCCAUGCCGCGUGUGUGAAGAAGGCUCUAGGGUUGUAAAGCACUUUCAGUAGGGAGGAAAUGUUGUUGAUUAAUACUCAACAAUCUUGACGUUACCUACAGAAGAAGCACCGGCAAACUCCGUGCCAGCAGCCGCGGUAAUACGGAGGGUGCGAGCGUUAAUCGGAAUUACUGGGCGUAAAGCGCGCGUAGGUGGUUUGAUAAGCUAGCUGUGAAAGCCCCGGGCUUAACCUGGGAACUGCAGUUAGAACUGUCUGACUAGAGUACUGUAGAGGGGGGUAGAAUUUCA
RNAcentral lists this ribosomal RNA (666 nucleotides) under uncultured Vibrionaceae bacterium. Its description in RNAcentral is "bacterial SSU rRNA". It matches the Rfam family "Bacterial small subunit ribosomal RNA", at positions 1 to 671 of the family's 1533-position model. Lineage: Bacteria; Pseudomonadati; Pseudomonadota; Gammaproteobacteria; Vibrionales; Vibrionaceae. The record is from RNAcentral.